RNAcentral lists this ribosomal RNA (581 nucleotides) under uncultured Oscillospiraceae bacterium. Its description in RNAcentral is "bacterial SSU rRNA". It matches the Rfam family "Bacterial small subunit ribosomal RNA", at positions 897 to 1481 of the family's 1533-position model. Lineage: Bacteria; Bacillati; Bacillota; Clostridia; Eubacteriales; Oscillospiraceae. The record is from RNAcentral.
AAACUUAAAGGAAUUGACGGGGGCCCGCACAAGCAGUGGAGUAUGUGGUUUAAUUCGAAGCAACGCGAAGAACCUUACCAAGGCUUGACAUAAUAGUGAAUACGGUAGAGAUAUCGUAGUCCUUCGGGACACUAUUACAGGUGGUGCAUGGUUGUCGUCAGCUCGUGUCGUGAGAUGUUGGGUUAAGUCCCGCAACGAGCGCAACCCCUGUUGCUAGUUGAUAACAUUCAGUUGAUCACUCUAGCGAGACUGCCGGUGAUAAAUCGGAGGAAGGUGGGGACGACGUCAAAUCAUCAUGCCCCUUAUGUCUUGGGCUACACACGUACUACAAUGGCUAUAACAGAGGGAAGCUAAGCUGCAAAGUGGAGCAAAUCCCCAAAAAUAGUCCCAGUUCAGAUUGUGGGCCGCAACCCGCCCACAUGAAGUCGGAAUUGCUAGUAAUGGCAGGUCAGCAUACUGCCGUGAAUACGUUCCCGGGCCUUGUACACACCGCCCGUCACACCAUGAGAGUCUGCAACACCCGAAGUCGAUAGUCUAACCGUAAGGAGGACGUCGCCGAAGGUGGGGCCGAUGAUUGGGGU